AGUGAACGCUGGCGGUAGGCCUAACACAUGCAAGUCGAACGGCAGCACAGUAAGAGCUUGCUCUUACGGGUGGCGAGUUGCGGCUGGGUGAGGAAUACAUCGGAAUCUACUUUUUAGCGGGGCUUAACGAAGGGAAACUUACGCUAAUACCGCAUACGACCUACCGGUGACAGCCGGUGACCUUCGGUACUUGCGCGAUUGCAUCAGCCGAGGUCGGGUUAGCUGCUUGGCAGGGGAAAGUUCCACCAAGGCGACGACCCGUAGCUGGUAUGAGAGGAUGAUCAGGCACACGGGAAGUGAGACAGGGCCCAGACUCCUACAGGGGGCCGCGGUGGGGAAUAUUGGACGAUGGGGGAAAGCCUGAUCCAGCCAUACCGAGGGGGUGAUGAAGGACUUCGGGUUGGAAAGCCCUGUUGUUGGGAAAGAAAAGCAGCAGGUUAAGACCCCGCUGUUCUGACGGUACCCAAAGAAUAAGCACCGGCUAACUUCGUG
This 492-nucleotide ribosomal RNA is filed under the name uncultured bacterium. RNAcentral describes it as "partial 16S ribosomal RNA". It matches the Rfam family "Bacterial small subunit ribosomal RNA", at positions 29 to 507 of the family's 1533-position model. The record is from RNAcentral.